GACGAACGCUGGCGACGUGCUUAACACAUGCAAGUCGAACGGAAAGGCCCUUCGGGGUACUCGAGUUGCGAACGGGUGAGUAACACGUGGGUGAUCUGCCCUGCACUUUGGGAUAAGCCUGGGAAACUGGGUCUAAUACCGAAUAGGACCACGCGCUUCAUGGUGUGUGGUGGAAAGCUUUUGCGGUGUGGGAUGGGCCCGCGGCCUAUCAGCUUGUUGGUGGGGUAAUGGCCUACCAAGGCGACGACGGGUAGCCGGCCUGAGAGGGUGACCGGCCACAAUGGGACUGAGAUACGGCCCAGACUCCUACGGGAGGCAGCAGUGGGGAAUAUUGCACAAUGGGCGCAAGCCUGAUGCAGCGACGCCGCGUGAGGGAUGACGGCCUUCGGGUUGUAAACCUCUUUCACCAGGGACGAAGCGUAAGUGACGGUACCUGGAGAAGAAGCACCGGCCAACUACGUG
This 462-nucleotide ribosomal RNA is filed under the name uncultured bacterium. RNAcentral describes it as "partial 16S ribosomal RNA". It matches the Rfam family "Bacterial small subunit ribosomal RNA", at positions 28 to 507 of the family's 1533-position model. The record is from RNAcentral.